Molecule: ribosomal RNA, 405 nt
Filed under: uncultured bacterium
Lineage: Bacteria
Description: bacterial SSU rRNA
Rfam family: Bacterial small subunit ribosomal RNA
Source: RNAcentral
UGAGGAAUAUUGGUCAAUGGGCGAAAGCCUGAACCAGCGACGCCGCGUGGGCGAAGAAGGUCUUCGGAUCGUAAAGCCCUUUUCUGUGUGAAGAGAGAGGACGGUAGCACAGGAAUAAGCCUCGGCUAACUACGUGCCAGCAGCCGCGGUAAAACGUAGGAGGCGAGCGUUAUCCGGAGUUACUGGGCGUAAAGCGCGUGUAGGCGGCUGUUUAAGUGUGCUGUGAAAUGUCCCGGCUCAACCGGGAAGGUGCGGCGCAGACUGGACGGCUGGAGGGUGACAGAGGCAGGUAGAAUUCCGGGUGUAGUGGUGAAAUGCGUAGAGAUCCGGAGGAAUACCAGUGGCGUAAGCGGCCUGCUGGGUCAAUCCUGACGCUGAGACGCGAAGGCAUGGGGAGCGAACGGG